RNAcentral lists this ribosomal RNA (253 nucleotides) under uncultured bacterium. RNAcentral's name for it is "partial 16S ribosomal RNA". It matches the Rfam family "Bacterial small subunit ribosomal RNA", at positions 524 to 776 of the family's 1533-position model. The record is from RNAcentral.
UACGAAGGUGGCAAGCGUUGUUCGGAUUUACUGGGCGUACAGGGAGCGUAGGUGGUUAGGUAAGCCCUCCGGGAAAUCUUCGGGCUUAACCCGGAAAGGUCGGAGGGGACUGCCUGGCUAGAGGACGGAAGAGGAGCGCGGAAUUCCCGGUGUAGCGGUGAAAUGCGUAGAGAUCGGGAGGAAGGCCGGUGGCGAAGGCGGCGCUCUGGGACGUUCCUGACACUGAGGCUCGAAAGCGUGGGGAGCAAACAGG